AGAGACCCUGUGGAAGAGAGACGGAGACUGCGGCAAAAAGAGGAAAGGAGGGUUACGGGCACCGAGGGGGAGCUGGAGUCAGCCGCAAGGAGAGAGGGAGCGGGGGAGGAAAAGAGGCGGGAGAGAGACCCUAAAAAGCAAGCUAGACUCUCCAGCCGGCCGCUCUGGUGUGGGGAGGGAGCGUCAUCUCAAGGACACUGAAAAAGCUGUUUGCCGUUUUGCUGUUUGCCUCCUUGUCACGACCUCAGCGACGGCAGAUGGAGCCAGUGGAGGGAGAGAGACAGACGGCAAUGCUUGGGUAGCCAGGGCUCCCUGCCGGCCCCACUCCUCCUGCAGACACGAGCACGCACACACACACGCGCGCAAAACACACACGCUGCCCUUCGCCACACGUAGCCAAGUAAAAUACACAAAAAGCAACUGAGAUACCAUUCGCACAUGACCACAUGGAAACACACAAAUGAACAAACGCAUUCAGGCAUAGCCACAUGCCAGUCACACAGAUGGAUAGACAAGAGCCUGGGGUACAAAGCCACAUGGCACAAAGCCACCUGGAUGUAUAUGCCCCUACACACGCACACAGAAAAAAACAUGCAAACUUAAGUACACACCUAUCCAGACAAGUGUGAGUGCACACACACACACACUCACACACUCUACCUGACACGUUAGUGCAUCCCCAUUGGGCCCCAGUUUCUCUCAGCAAAUUCAGAUCACCCAGCCUGACUUCAAAACCUGCCCCCUUCCAUUCCCCUUCAUGCUGGUUCCUGAAUCCAGCUCGUUGCUCCAGGCUAGCAAAGCUGUCCACAGCCUCAUUUGUGGUUUGCUCACCUGCCUCAGCACCAUCAGCCAGAGGGGGCGAGGAACGCGGCUCUGCGGAGGAGCGGAAUCUUCUCAGCAGCGAUCUGCGAAGGGCUCAGCGGCCACAGGAGGGCGGCAGAGAACAGCGCUCCCUACAGAUCCAGACGUCGGCCCUGGAUGCUGUCUGGAAUCCAGCACUGGGGCUGCUGGCACAGAAGGACCCUGUGGCUUUUCCUUCAUGGUAUAGCAGAUGACACCCACGCUCCUCCGUGACAUUCCCUAGGGUCCCAGCUGAUAACUGGAGCUAGAACUAGAACCCACGACUUCUUGGUUCUCUGCGCAGGGGUCUUCCCAUUGUGUCAGCUGCAGCUCCUGAAAUAAAACCAUACCCUACAGGCCACAACCAGACAGCAUCUCAAAUCCCUGGCUUAAACAAUCAAUGCCAAAGCUACUGUGUUCCAUAUGUUUACAUAUGGAACUGGUGCAUACAAGACUGUUAACCCAGGACACAGAUGUGUGCUGUAGCUACCUGGCUGUGCACCCCUCAUCCUCAGGUACAUGGCCCUCUGUCCCUUCUCUUCCUACUUUCUGAACUGCAAAAGAAGCUUCUCUUCAUUUAUAAUUUGGCCUUUUCACUGGAGUUCCAGAAACUCCUCAAAGCUGUAGACACAGAAGCCCUUUCCCAGUUCUAACCUUGGUCCAUCUUACCACAGCCCUUUACACCUGGAGGAGAGGGCCUGCACGUGAUCUUCAGCUCUCUCUUCCCAGGCAUCCCCUCAGCUGGUCCCACCACUGCUUCUUGCCUCUCCCGUCCCUCUGCUGACCAACCCAUGCCUCCUCCAGAUUCUUCUUGCUGCCACUGGUUCUCCUUUCAUCUCAAAAGCUGAGCCACCCAGGGAGGUAGGCAUAGAAAAGAGAAAGGAAGAAAGGUAGGAGGGAUUGGGAAGAAAAUCUGUCUACAAGCCAGAAGAGGACUCUGUCCCUGCCCCCUUUACUCUCAGCUGGUAAGUUCUACUUACAGUCUGACCUCAGUCCUCUGGCUAGUCCUCAUUUUAUCUACUCUCCUUGAAGCUAAAGAGCUAGAGAAGCUGAGAGUAAAUGAGGAGAAAUGGAUCCAAUUGUGUCGGGGGUAUAUGUGCAAGCUUGUGCACUGAUGGCCUGAGUGUGUGUAUACACUUGCAUCACACACCACCCCUUCCCCAUUGCCCCCCCACACACACGUAUUCCAUGCCAUCCCCAAUCUAGGAUUCCUCCUAUAAAACAAGAGGAGAAAAACAUCCCAACCUCUCAAACACCUUAUUCUAACUUUCAUCCUCCAGGGGAAACCUAAAAAGACAACACCCUCCCCCUCUGUUUCCCCCCUUCCCAUGUCCUUGUCCACUCUGGUUUUUGAGAUUUCUUCUUAAACCGCAUGGGGUGCAGCCCCUACACACCUUCCCCAGAAUCCAGGAGGCACCAGAGUCUUGUCCCUGCAAAGGACUGAGACAAACGCCAAUCACGUCGGGGCCUCUUGCAGUGCCCAUUCUGCUAUGAAUUCCCAAGGUCAAAACCAUUCUGGUGUUAUUAAAAACAUAAAUGUUGCAUACCAGGCAGCGGGGGGAAAAAUUAUAAGGCAGCCAGAUGAGAGGGAGAUGGAGGGGCCAGUAAUUGUCUUCGUCUUCCCAGAGUCAAGCUCCACAGGGCUGGAGCCGCACACAGAACAUUGCUUUUUAAUUUAACUCAGUAAGGUCAGUGGCAGCAAAUGAGGCAGGGGAGGAAUGGCACCUCAGAGGGAGGGCGCCGGGACCUGCAGAGCCGAGGCUCCUGGCCAAGAUCUCCAAGAACUGCCAGGGGAAGCAGAGAGAGAAUGGCAGGGAGGAUUUGGUGACCCUUGGCUCACCAGAGAAGGGAGCUGGACUGAGGGGGAGUGAUAUAGGAGCUCCAAGAAUCAUUAUAAGAGCUUCUGAGAGCCUGGGAUUUAAGUGGAAAGAAAGAAAAACACUUCAGAAGGACUCUUAAGUGAGACCAGAAGGCCUGAUAGAGACAAAUACCCCCAUCUUCACUCUCCCCAAUACCCACUCUACAGAGGAGAAUAACAAGGCUCAUGGUUGGAACUCAGAAGUUCCGCUUUCCCCCAGUACCUAUGAAUCCUGGAGCCCAAGUGGAGAGAAUUCUCCAGUGAGGUGGGCCACUCUGUCGCAUCCCCUUCAUCUCCAAGGAUCCAAGGGGGCAGGGGAGAGGAAGAUGGCAGGAGAAACUGUGGCAGAGCCGCCCUCCCUCAGAACCUUCCUCAUCUUCCCCACUUUCUUAGGGUCCCAGCUUCCCAUCUGCAGCUCUGAUAGCUGCAUGGUGGUUCUCUCCAUUUCCAGUGCUAUAGGAAGAAUUGGAGUUAGACUAGAGAAGGGACUUCCCAGAUCAGCAUCUUGGUCAUAGGCACAACCCAGGAUUGGGUAGAAAGGCUAAGGAACCUAGGAUUUUCUGAAUAGGACCAAUGAACUGAGCAUGAUGGGAUUAAGGAGCCUGGAGAAGGUGGGAGACUCACUGACUGGGGGUGGAGAGGAGCUAUGAAAAAGCCGUGCAACAGUCACAGGCAGAGCAUCCAAAUACACUUUGGGACUUACAGGAACUUCUGCAGAUCAGACCUCAGCUCCUUCUGCUUCAGUUUCAGGCUGUUGCCCUUUUAGGGUUUUUGUUUUUGUUUUUGUUUUUGUUUUAGGGAAGGAGGAUUAGAACAAUAGGUUUGAGACUGAAGGACAGUGUUUUAAUUCUCUGUCUCCAUCCUUAAGUGUCCUUGCUACUUGGCAGGUUUCUACUUCCCUGUCAGUCAGGAAUUAGGAGACCCCAAUGUCAAUUUGGAAAUCUGAGGUUUGCUACCCUCAUAAUGUACACCUCUGCCAUCAUCUCCUCCUCCCUCUCCAGAAGAUCCCACUUUCAGCGCAGGGACCCCAAUCCUGCAGUUCUCCGUAUCUGCCACAAGGUGGCAGCCAAAGCAUCGAUUGAUCCAGAGCUAGACCUGGUGCCUCACUAGAGCCAGGACCCAUUCUCCACUCACCCCUUCCCCACCUGGGGGCUGCCAACCCCGAAGGACCCAGGAAAGGAGAAACGUUCUGGAAGGACUCCAGCUCUUCGGAUAAAUGGGCUGGGUGAGGAUUGGGAGGGAGAAGGAAAGGGAAGGUGCAAGGGAAACCGGAGAAACACAAACCGGAGAAACACGAACCUGGAAGUGGGGGAGCAGGCAGUCAGGUGCGGUGAGAAGCCCAAGUUGAGAAUCACAGAGGGGCUGCCUGCCGCUGCCCACACCACACCCAGCGCCCCAGGGGCUCCAGCACAGCAGCCUAGAGCUGUUAACUUGCCCAGAGGCAACCAGAGCAGAAGUACCAGGAGCUGGGGUUGGGGGAGCCUACACCAGAGUAAGCCACCAAGAUCCGGUCAGGGAAAGGGUCUGCGCCACCUCCUCCUCCUCAGUAUGAGACCAUGAGACCCAACGGGACUCCGUUAUCCCUGCCAUUCCCAGAAAACAUUAAACAGGGAAGGGUUCAGUCAAUCUCCCCUGCAGCACUGAUUCUCCUGGUGCGGGAAGAGGGUCCUGGAAGACAGGAAAGAAGAAAGAAGGCAGAUCCCUAGAGAGAAGAAAAACAGCCCUGCUCACAGGGAGGUGCCAGUAUGUGGGGAACAGGCAAGAUAACAGGAAGAGGCCUGCAAGCACCUUGGCAGUGGUUUCGAAAGGAAACAUUUGGGAUCCGGAACCAGGAGGAUCAGUCAAGGAGGGCUUCCUAGAGGAGGACAGUAUGGGACAAUCUUGUAAAAUGCUGAGAGGCUGGUCUGGAAAAAGGAGAGAGAUAGUUCAGGCUGAAGACAGACUAUAUGUAUGAAACUAUUUGGGGUCAGGGGACGACUAAAUACGUGGAUGGCUGCUCAGGUGGAGCUUAGAGACCACACCACCCUGCAGCGGGAGAAUGGGGAGUUGAAGGAACAGGCAUGGUGCAUGUGAGGCAAUGAGGCCUCAAGACCCAGCUGGCACAGCUGGGCAGCACCUGGGCCUAGCUGAAUAUCCUCCCUCUCCCCGACCCCCACAUAGCCAGGAGAAUAAGAACAGAAUAUAGGAUCCUCCAAACAGGGCACAAGAAGGACUCCUAGACCAGGAGUCAGGGGCCUGGGUUUUUCAGAAGCAGCUACUGCAUAACAGGGGACACUGGGUAAAUCUUCCCCCCUCUGAGGACUCUGGCUGCUGUCUGUACAGGCUGAAACUGAUGCUCUCUGACCUCCCUUUUCUGAGACUGUCCUGUUGAUGACUGCCCUCCUCCCAAAGAAUGAUCUGACUCAUCUGUGACCUGCCAGGCUUUAGUCCUCCUUCUCUCAGUGUCCCUAUACUCCAGACACACUCCUCCAUCCAGAAGAAAUUAUUCCAUUUCUGUGGUGGAGGGAUGGAGGUGCAAGGCCCCAGUUUCACGAACUUAGCCUGGGCCUAUUGGGCAUCAAACAUGACAAAGAGGAUCUGAAGUUAGACUCAAGGAAGAACUUCCCAACACAAGUGGCCUGAAAACCUCAGCUUGUGUGAAGUGCAUUAAGAAUAUAUACUAGUGGCCGGCCAGGCACGGUGGCUCACACCUGUAAUCCCAGCACUUUGGGAGGCCGAGGCAGGCAGAUUAUGAGGUCAGGAAUUUGAGACCGACCAGCCUGACCAACAUGGUGAAACCCCAUCUCUACUAGAAAUACAAAAAUUAACCGGGCAUGGUGGCGUGUGCCUGUAAUCCCAACUACUCAGGAGGCUGAGGCAGGAGAAUCGCUUGAACCCGGGAGGCAGAGGUUGCAGUGAGCCAAGAUGGUGCCACUGCACUCCAGCCUGGGCAACAGAGUGAGACUCUGUGUCAAAAAAAAAAAAAGAAAGAAAAAGAAAAAGAAAGAAAGAAAGAAGUAAUAUAUACCAAUGGCGUCCAAGAGACCAGGAAACUGUUUUGGACCUCUGAAUAGUGCCAAUGAGACAGAGAGAAGUUUUGACUGUGGUUAUGGUCCUCCUAGUUAGAAGGUUGCACAUAAAGACUUCUGGGGGCCGGGCGCAGUGGCUCACGCCUGUAAUCCCAGCACUUUGGGAGGCCAACGCAGGCAGAUCACGAGGUCAGGAAAUCCAGACCAUCAUGGCUAACACGGUGAAACCCCGUCUCUACUAAAAAUACAAAAAAUUAUCCUGGCGUGGUGGUGGGCGCCUGUAGUCCCAGCUAUUCAGGAGGCUGAGGCAGAAGAAUUGCUUGAAUCUGGGAGGCAGAGCUUGCAAUGAGCCGAGAUAGCACCACUGCUCUCCAGCCCGGGUGACAGAGCGAGACUCCAUCUCAAAAAAAAAAAAAAAAAAAAAAGACUUCUGGUAAUUCUACCACCCUGAAGUGGAGUAGGGUGAAUCUAGAGUUAGGAAGUGCAGGUUGGUUAGAAGCUAAUGGUCAAAACCUGUGGAGUGGGUGGCAGAGGAGAGAAGUGAGUAGGCCUGAAUUCUUCACAGACUAGGCAGCCUCCCGUCCUGACCCCACCUCUUUAUCACCCUCCCAGGUCAGACCAGAGCCUCUGAGCACUUCCAAUUCAAACCCUGAUUGAAGGCCUCAGAUCCUAGUCUCCAUCUCAGACCCCGGACCCUGAUGCUGUCCCCCUGUGCCUGGAAGGGCAAAAGCACACACUUCUCAGGCUCCCCAACCAAGUAGGAACAGCCUUCCUCUCCUGGCCUCCCACCUCAGCAUCACCACAUACCACAUGCUGGAACCUGCUAGAGAUUUGCAUAAAUCAAAGAUAUCUUCACCUGAGUCUUCCAGCUCCCCCAAGGCACACCACAUGCACACAUACACAUAUGCACACGUUCGCCUGCACACAUGCAGAUACACAGGUGCAUACUCAUACAUGCAUCAUACAUGGACACACAUAACCUCAAAAUACAAGCAUAUGCACACACACCCUCAUCACAAACACUCUCACAUACAUGCAACAUACACAUACUCAUAAACUCACCCACAUUUACAGACACACAUCACAUGCAAACUUACACAUACUCACUCAUCAAACACACUUGUUCACACUCAUGCGCACAUCCUCUGCUAUUCCUUUCUACUGACUAAGGAUCAAGAACCCAGGCUUCUAGAUUCUAGAGAUUUAGAAUGUCCAGCAGAAUGCAUGUAAACUCACAGGAAACCUAUUUUGAGUUUCUUAGCCCAAACUAGAACUUCUUUACCAUAUCCUCUUCCCUGCCUCCAGAUCUCUGGACCUCUGGUCCAGAUCACGGAAAUGGAGCCUGCAAAGGUAACUCAUUCAUUCAUGCAACAGACGUUUUCGAACACCUGCCACCUAUGUGCAGGAAGCUGAGGUAGACACAUAAAAGCAUAAGAACUUCUGCCCCCUAGUGUAGUGGAAAGAGCAAGAGCUCAUGAGACAAGGACCUGAGUUCAAAUACUGCCUCCGUCUCAACAAGCUGUGUUACCUUGGGAACAUUACAUAACCUCUCUGAGCCUCAGUUUCAUCACCUGUAAGGUGAGGUUAAUAAAACCCAGUAAUGCUGUGAGGAGUAAAAGGCAGGGAAAACCUCCAACAGCAAUGUGCCCACCCAUGAAAAGGGUCCCCAUUCCCUUCCCUAGCCCCUGCAGUGGAGGUGGAGGGAGAGCGGCUCCCCAACACCCUCCCUGUCCUGCCGUCACUGAAGCAGAAACCCAGUCUCCUUCAGCCUCAGACCCCACAGGUCGCGUUUUCCGUAAUAACCUUUAAUGCGGCUGGCCACGGCCCAAAUGUUCGCGAUGGAGUGCUGGGCCCCGCGCAUCAGAUGGACGAUGAAGUGUUAAUCAUCCCCCAGGGAGCCGUCCCGCGGAAAGUCGUCAUUAAUUUCUCUGAAUUACACCAAUUCCGAGACAUUCUUUAUGGACAGACAGUGCGGGAGACAGUUAUAUGACAGGACUUGCUGUGCUAAGCAGAUGUGGGAGAGAUUGCGUCGCCCCAUGAAUACUAAACAAUCGCUCCGAAGAAACCCCACUAGCUUCUGCGCUCAGAGCUGGGACUCGGCUUACUCCGUCUCCCACCCUGAUGGGCACACCCCUGCAGGUGCCUGGGGUUGGAGAAGGAGGGCUGGCGCCCAUCCCUGCUGCAUAGGUGGCCUCCUCGGCUCCCCUCCGAAGUCAGGCCUCGGCCACAGAGCAAGAAGUGGCUCUGGGGCUCUCACCCUCACCUUCCUGGGACCCUGCAAGGACCCACAAACACCCUUGCCUUCCCUGCCAUAGCCUUUGCUCCCUGCAUUCCUUCCAGGGCCUGAACUGCUUCUAAACGUCUUGCUGUCUCCCCUCUCUCCGACUCUGAUCCUCCUCUAGCUCAUCACCCAGACGACUCACUACCUGCUCGUUUCUGAGUCUUCAUCCCGCUUCUCCCACCUCCCAUCCUGCCCCGCCUCCAUCCCUCCGACCCCCUCUUCCUGCCCACCUCCCACUCUGCUCACUUCCCCAGCCUGACCACUUUCCACCCUACCCAGGCUGCCUGCCCAUCUCCCCAAAGAACCCCGCCUGGCAGUGGGCAUAGCUUUCCCAUUCCCUCCCUCGCUCUAACCGGCUGCACCCUACACUGUGCCCCAUUUCAAGUCAUCUCUCCUACAUCUGCUUUCACACCUCGCUCACCCUUCAGAAUCUAGCGGGGGAGGGACAAAGUUCAGAGCAGAAUGAAAGGAAGGGGGUGUGACCCUUUUCUCUCUCCUCCUGCCCUCUGCCUGCUCUCCUCUCUUCUUUCUGGGAUACUGGGAGGGGAGUCAACGAGAGCUGGGGACACCUCCCCACCAGCAGAGUGGUGGGCGCCAGGGAGUGGGGGAGAAGGAAGAGGGUGGCCGGGGAAACCUGCCUAGGCGAUGGGUCCCACCUGGAGAAAGCCCCGCCCACCACAACGAGCUCCACCUCCCCUGAGCGGCGGGGGAGGCUCCGCCCUAAGGCCGAAGGGUCCUCCUUGGCAGCCCGGGGACCUUGGGAGGGCCAGGUUUCUCGGUCACCCCAGGCCACUGUCCCUCGGGGGAGGACAGAGGCAAGUGCACACUGUUCCUGUCAGGCCGUCCCUCCGCCUUUGCCGGAGGGAGGACCCCCUCAGCGCCUUGCGCGGGUCUGGGGGAGAGGAAGGAAAGUGCGCAGCCUCUGCGUCUUUCCUCCUCGCAGGUAAUUUAUGUCUGAGAGCGGAGCAGAUGGCGGGUAAUUUAGCAAUUACCGUGUGCGGGAACGGGACUCGCGCCUCCACAUGGAAGCCAAAGAUUCCCCGCCGCAGUCUCAUCUCAUUUGCUGCCUGUUUUCUCUAUUUUGUCUCCCCUUCCCCCGCCACACCUCGCUGAAUCCCAAAACUCAGGCGGAGGGGAUCUCCUGCUCGGGGUCCCAUUUCAUCCUGACCCCUCUCGACAUCAGGCCUAGGUUUUCUGCCUCAGAAAACACGAGGUAGAGUCUGUUUGCUCACUGGGAGUCCUUCCUUCCCCUCUCACCUUCAGCCUUCUUGCUGCUCUAAGUGACCGUACUGUACUGGGAGGCUGUGGGGUUCUCUCCCAACCUUCUCCCCUACUGCCACUUCUUCAGGCUUUCCACGGUAUUUUCCUCAAAUAUCUGGGUUCCAGACCCCCGGUUUCAGAAUAGGCUUCUGGACCCCAAAGUUAACCCAGCGGCUAAGAAGCCUGGGUGCCUGCAUGGGCAGCAAGGGGAAAGCAGUGAUUGUUAAGGUGAGAGGAGCCCCAAAGCCCUUUGGAGCUCUGUCCACGCAGUGAGCAUGUAAUGAGUAUGCAAUGGCUGACAGAAGCUGGCCUGAGUGAGGAGAGGGCAGGCAGAGGGGACAGGAAUGAGGCUGGAGGCAUCUGACAUGCCUCCUUCCCCUUCUACUCCCUUCCUUUCUGGGCCACCUGGGGAAAGGAUGCUGUGAGAUAGGCCCUGGGCCUGGAGACCUCCCUAAGCUGCACGGGAGUCGGGGGUGUCCUCCCUUCCCUCUGCCUCUAUCCAGCCCAGCCCAGGACACAGGACACCCACAACCAAGAGGCUGUAUCCCACACACACCCUGUCUUCGGCCGGGGCCCCUAGAUCUCUGACCUUCACUGUCACCCUUAAUCCUGGACUGCAGCUUGAAUGCUCCCAUUCCAACAGGACUUUAGGUGACCUCUGGGCUCUGCAGAGCUGGCCUCUUAGGCUUUGAGACACCCUCAUCACAAACUCCCCCAGCUCCUCCUCAUUCCUCAACACCAGAGGAGCACUAAUUAAUUAGCGUGUGCAACCAGCCGUAGGCACAAUCUCGUUACUCACCACAGGGACCCGCUGUUAACAUACCAGACCCCCGGGACGCCGGCACAUGCCAAUUACACAGCUAGCAGCUCGGCUAAUCACGGCUCCUGGUGACACUGUGGCUUACAGAAGAAUCCCCACUUCCCUCCUCCCACCUUCCCCUACACUCCUGCCUCUGGGAACAGGAGGCUGGAAGGGAGGAUGUGAAGACUAGAUGGGGAAAAGUUGAAACGCUGGGGAACAGGAGGCCAGCCAUGGAGUAGCUGAGGUGAGAGUGGGACUGAAAAGUUAGAAAGAAGAAUUCUCCUACAAAUCACUUUAGGCUGUAAACAGACACUAUGGAAUUAGUAACUGCAAUAAGAGGGUGUGCUGGUGGACUACAAGAAGGACUUCCUGAUGAGGCCAUUGCAAUGGUAGAAUUGGACCUGACAAAGGACAGCCUUUCUUCCUACAAGAAGCAGCCAAGGGAAAAUGGCCUGUGAGGUGGAAGAGGAAGGGAAAAAGGGGAAGUUCCAGGAACUCAGGUAUCUGGUGCCAUCCUGUUCCUCAGCUGCAGUUCAAGGGUACAGAGAGGAGGCGGCCUCACUGCAGACACAGAUAGACGGCUUCCCUCCCACACACGUCCCAUUGACUUUGCCAUUCUGCUGUCACUCCACAGCUUCUCCGAGAUUUAACAUAUUGACUCUCUGAGCUGCAGAAAAUUGAAUUUUCUUCAUUACGACUGUCUCCCGACAAAAGCAGCUCAUAAAUUCUACAUCUUUUUCAGGCUUCCCACCCCCUCACCACCCAACAUCUCUCCAGGGUAUUCACAUAUUUGAACAUGCCAUUCACAUGGGUGUAAAGGCAAGGCAUGACCAGCACUCCCCACGGACACAGCAUUCACAAAGACAGCGUUCACCCCAUCCCUCACUGCCCAUACAUAGAUCCAGUCUACACCCAGACCUGGCCACUGUCAUCAGAAAUGAGGGUUCAUGUCUUCCACAACCAGGGUGGGUCCAAGUAUAUGGUGCCCCAUAUAGCAGAGUCACAUGUCCCGUAUCAAGGGGCGAAAGAUCCCAUGCCGUAGCCAAUGCGUGUACGUCUAUAUUGUGGCCCAUUAGCAGUCUCACGGGUGACACUGUCACAUGGGACAGAGUCAUCUGUCCUGAGAUACAGUAUUCACUCCAAGUCCACCUCAGUGCUACCUGGGCAUAGCUACAGGUCCCUCCCCAUAGUACUGGAAUCCCUGCCCACACUCCCACCUGGGAAUAUGCCCACAAGUAUGAAACAUAUGCAAGUCUCUCAAGCUUUGUAUAGUCAUAGACAUGGAAGGAGGAGAAGAAACAUCUCCUAGGACCUAGUGGGGAGUCUUCCUUCACACCACAGCAACCGCUCCUGUCUCCUCCCAACACUGUCCCCUGCCCAUGCACAUGUUAAGCAGCUGGUCUUCUUCCACUACUAUAGUACCUCAGCAGUACUCCUUAAGGCACAGACACCUCCCUUCCACCAUUAAGGGAUGUUGGACUUGGCCUCCCACUCCAGAGUGUGCUCUCCCCAUCUGACUCUCUCCUGCUUAGGCCCCAGGAACAGCACUGGGGGAGGGCAGGGCCUAGUUCCUUUAGCACCUGUGCCAGCCUGGCAGCUGAGGCUGUAAUAGAUGGGCAAGAGGCCAGGCUGAUGGCCAGCACCAUGUGGCUUGUGCCCAGGGCCAGAUUGGGGCGGGAAGUGGUGGGCUAGGUGCCCAGGCACUCCACCUUCCAAAAUGCCACACAAUCUGUGAGUGGAGAGAAACAGAAAGAGGGACUCAGAUAGAUUCAGACGAGGACACCCCCUGAGACCAGACUAAGUCAAUCUCUGACCCUUCAACAGCCGCUCCCACCCCUACAACACUGACCCAGGCACAAAGGAAGUCACCACAAACAAGAGAGGACAACCAGUUAUUUUCAAGAAUGACUAGCCCAACCUCACCAACAGCAAAACUAGAUUGUGGGGGUACAAUCAGAAACAAUAAUAAGAAUGACUCCUCUAUUAGGAGAGGGGCUGAGACUUGGGAGGUCUGCAUGCAUUUUUAUGUGAGCUAAUUAAUAUACAAAUGUUAUGUGGAAUGCACAAAUGUUAUGUGGAAUGCAGAUGAACAUCUAUUGCCUUUGCAAUCCCGAACCAGCUCCUCUUGGUACUAAUACAAACACACACACACACACACACACACACACACACACACACACACACUCUAUAUGAUUAGCUGGACUGUUUUUCCCAGCACGUAGGUUUCUAAACUAUCUUCCGUCUUAUCCCUUAAGAGCAAGUUUGGAACUACACAAAGAUGGCCAGGAAGGUUGGGAUCCACGAUACAAGGAAAGGCUUUCUGGAGACUCAGAUGUACCUCAAAUCCUCUUUGUCCAGAAGGAGAGCAACCCCCCCCAUGCCAGCCUUACCCAUGCCCACCUGUAAACCUACUCCUGGCUGGGCACGGUGGCUUACACCUGUAAUACCAGCACUUUGGGAGGCUGAGGCGGGUGGAUCAUUUGAGGUCAGGAGUUUGAGACCAGACUGGUCAAAAACCGUGUCUCUACUAAAAAUAACAACAACAACAACAAAAACUAGCUGGGCGUGGUGGCGCACGCUUAUAAUCCCAGCUACUGGGGGAGGUGGAGGCAGGAGAAUCACUUGAACCUGAGCGAUUGUUACAGUAAGGUUACAGUGAACGGAGAUCACUGCGCUCCAGACUGGUGACAGAGCGAGACUUCGUCUCAAAAAUAAAUAAAUAAAUAAAUAAAUAAAUAAACCUACUCCUUCUGCCAACGUCCCCUCUCAGGGAAGGACUGCAUCCACUCAGAUGCCCAAGCCAGUACCCUGGGAUCAGCCAUGACCCUUCCUUCAGGUUAGGAUGAGACAUGGGAGCCUGUUGCAUGUAUUAAAUGACUUAGUGACUUUUUUUUUCUUUUUUGAGACAGGGUCUCACUUUGUUACCCAGGCUGGAGUACAGUGAUGCAAACACAGCUCACUGCAGCCUCGACCUCCUGGACUCAAGUCAUCCUCCCACCUCAGCCCCUAAGUAGCUGGGACCACAGGCAUACGCCACCAUGCUCAGCUAAUUUUUGUAUUUUUUGUAGAGACAAGGUUUUGCCAUGUUGUCCAGGCUGGUCUUGAACUCCUGAGCUCAAGCAAUCCUCCCACUUCAGCCUCCCAAAGUCCUGGGAUUACAGGCAUGAGCCACCACACCUGACCCCCUUAAGUGAUUUUUUUAAGCUAAAAGUUUAACUUUUUUAGCAUCACAUGUCUACAGACAUUCAAAAUCAUUACUUCAAAAAUCAAAAUGUCCUGUUUCCUUCAUUGCCCACAUCCUGCAUGCUACUUCCUAAAUAUCUCUGUGUCUAUCCAAUUUGCUGCAUUCUCUGUGGCAGACGAGAGACAGGUCUUAGCAAGAUAACUGAGCUGCUUCCUUGUUGCGUUCUCAGGCUCCAGGGUUAACCUCCCCGCUUCCCCCGAUUCCCAUAGCGCUAGGGAGGCCAGAGAAGCAUAGGGGACAGGCCAAGACACACAGUUUCCCAGAGAGAAGUAUUUUGAAACUGCCAGAAAGCUGAUAGAAUUGCAAAGUACAUUAAAUCAGCUACUUAAAUUGUGACCACAACACACAGCUAUUUAUUUUGUGACAGGGUAAAAAGUUUCAAACUUUUUAUCAAUAGAAUAAUAAAAAUAAAGAAACCCUAUAACCAUAUGAAUAACACUAUCUUGAGGGAAAUCAGCCACAUUCAUGACCAAUCAGCCUGUGGCCUUAUGCCCCACCAACAUUUUGGUUGGCUGAAUUCCAGUCUUUCUUCAGCAGGGGAUCUUUGCUUAUGUGUGAUUCACAAAGUUGAUGCUCUAUAAAUUUCAGUGGAAUAAAUGUGACACUAAUAGAGGUAUGAGCAUGUGGCCAGAUUAGAAUCAAAAGUCUUCUCAUCAGAGGUAUCUCUUCUCCCAGGACAACUCUACUGAUUCUAGAAUGUUGAUUCAACCCAUGUUGAUAGAGCAUGGAAUGGGCACAAGACUAGAUUCUAUCUCCAGCCCCUAUUAUAUGAGGCCAUAUGAUGGGUUCUCACCAAUAGGAUAUAAGUGGAAGUAAUGUGUUACUCCCAAGCUGUGAAAGUUUAGUGUGUGCCUUCUCCACAUGCUCGCUCUUCCCCAUCUGCUGGCGGUGACACCUGGGCAAUCUGAAGCCACAUAUUUCAGAUGGCAGAUCCACAGCAUGAACAGAUCUGGAUUCUUGAGUCACCUGACCACAAAUAUCCACAUUGGACUUAUGUGAUACAUAAAUUCUUAUCAUGUUAAGACACUGAGAUCUGGGGGUUGUCUGUUGCAGCUGUUAUAUCUAUUCUAAUACACGAAUCAAGGUAAUGAGGCCAAAAUGGCAAAAAAACAGACUUGUAACACUGUCGAAUUUGGACUGGCAGAGGGCAUAGGAGAGCACUCUCGAGUCAGGAAUUCUUGAUUUAAAUCUCAUACUAGGGGCUGGGUACAGUGGUUCAUGCCUGUAAUCCCAGCUUUUUGGGAGGCCAAGGCGGGCGGAUCACUUGAGAUCAGGAGUUCGAGACCAGCCUGGCCAACACAGUGAAACCCCGUCUCUACUAAAAAUACAAAAGUUAGCCAGGCAUAGUGGCAGGCACAUGUAAUCCCAGCUACUCGGGAGGCUGAGGCAGGAGAAUUGCUUGAACCCUGGAGGCAGAGUUUGCAGUGAGCUGAAAUCAUGCCACUGCACUCCAGCCUGGGUGACAGAGUAAGACUCUCUCUCAAAAAUAAAUAAAUAAACCUCAUACUAGCUAUGUGGCUUUGCUCAAGUUAUUUAAUCUUUCUGAACUUUGGUUUUUUUCAUUGAUAAAAAUUAUAUAAUAAUAAUAUGAUCUGAACACUUUGAUAGUAGAGUGGGUUGACGGGUCUGCGGAGUGAAGGAGCUGCAGACCUGAGUAUAGUUGAGAACUCUAAACCAUUCUUCCACCCAGCCCUAGGUCAACCAAGGAACUAAGAGGACAAAAGAAAAUGGGCCGGAGACCUUAAAGAAAAGCCCCAAGGAUAUCAAACUUUGCGCUAAAAUUACAUCAAUGUUUUUCCUACUUCCCACAGAGUCCACAGUUUGGAAACAUUCAGAACAGCCUACAAUAUCUGAUAGAGCUGCUUCUGAGUGUUUGUAAAGCACCCAGCAGAGUGCCUGAUACAUGGCAGACACUCAGUACUAUUAAUAACACUGGCCAUCAUUAUUUUCUCAGAAAGCAUCUUGUUAUAUUGGGAAAGGUAUAGGUUUCAGAAUAAGAUUGUUCUUAGAGGCUUUUUUUUUUUUAGACCGGUCACAUUCUCGUCGCCCA
RNAcentral lists this long non-coding RNA (15343 nucleotides) under Homo sapiens (human). Its description in RNAcentral is "non-protein coding CISTR:8". Lineage: Eukaryota; Metazoa; Chordata; Mammalia; Primates; Hominidae. The record is from RNAcentral.